This is a small nucleolar RNA of Corchorus capsularis, 107 nucleotides long. It matches the Rfam family "Plant small nucleolar RNA R71". From Rfam's summary of the family: R71 is a member of the C/D box family of snoRNAs containing the C (UGAUGA) and D (CUGA) box motifs. Multiple nearly identical copies of this snoRNA have been identified in Arabidopsis, and it is thought to function as a 2'-O-ribose methylation guide for 18S ribosomal RNA. NCBI's taxonomy places the organism in Eukaryota, Viridiplantae, Streptophyta, Magnoliopsida, Malvales, Malvaceae. The record is from Rfam.
AUGCCAUUGUGAGGGCAGCUGGCGCAAAGCAUCUUGAAUCUAUCCCAUGCUUGGUAAAAAUUCUCUUCCUUUUGUUGUUGAAAAGCAGCAAUUUGUUGUCUUCCUUU